Molecule: non-coding RNA, 73 nt
Organism: Lacerta agilis (Sand lizard)
Lineage: Eukaryota; Metazoa; Chordata; Lepidosauria; Squamata; Lacertidae
Source: the annotation of a RefSeq genome assembly
GACAGGGUAGCUUAGUCGGCAGAGCAUGAGACUCUGAAUCUCAGGGUUGUCGGUUCGAGCCCCACCUUGGGCA